GAUAGUCAUAUAUAUAUAAAAUAUAAUAAAAUUAAAACUCUUAACUUGACUAUAUAACAUGUUGGGCAGUAGAUAGGCGCAAAAGGUUAAAAGAGUUAAUCGUGCUAGAACUAAAAUAAUUCUAGGAUAGAUGACCUCCCUGUAAAGUGGGACGAAUCGAUUAAGUGUGCUAGAAGUGAAGUAAUUUUAGAAUGGAUGACUCUCUAGAAAAGUAAAGCAAGUUGGCUAAAAAAUCCGGUUAUAAUAUAUUGGGUCUUAAAAAGGUUAAGCGUGCUAGAACUGAAAUACUUUUCGGAUGGAUGACCUUCCGGAAAGUAAGGCGGGUCGGUUAAGAUUAGUAAGACAAGUCUCAAAUUGUUAGGUGGCUAAACUAUUUUGGGUGAUGGUUAGAUCCAAAGGAUGCUGGGGCUAU
This 412-nucleotide long non-coding RNA is filed under the name Ananas comosus (pineapple). RNAcentral's name for it is "long non-coding RNA (ACOM_LNC015277)". Lineage: Eukaryota; Viridiplantae; Streptophyta; Magnoliopsida; Poales; Bromeliaceae. The record is from RNAcentral.